UAAUACGUAUGGGGCAAGCGUUGUUCGGAUUUACUGGGCGUAAAGGGCUUGUAGGUGGCAGGAUAAGUCGGAUGUGAAAUCUCCGGGCUCAACCCGGAAACUGCGUUCGAAACUGUCUUGCUAGAGUACCGGAGAGGGAGACGGAAUUCCUGGUGUAGGGGUGAAAUCUGUAGAUAUCAGGAAGAACACCGGUGGCGAAGGCGGUCUCCUGGCCGGAUACUGACACUGAGGAGCGAAAGCUAGGGGAGCAAACAGGAUUAGAUACCCUGGUAGUCCUAGCUGUAAACGUUGUGCACUAGGUGUAAGUGGUAUCCAAUCCACUUGUGCCGCAGCUAACGCAUUAAGUGCACCGCCUGGGGAGUAUGCUCGCAAGGGUG
This 377-nucleotide ribosomal RNA is filed under the name uncultured Spirochaetota bacterium. Its description in RNAcentral is "bacterial SSU rRNA". It matches the Rfam family "Bacterial small subunit ribosomal RNA", at positions 521 to 896 of the family's 1533-position model. Lineage: Bacteria; Pseudomonadati; Spirochaetota. The record is from RNAcentral.